This 540-nucleotide ribosomal RNA is filed under the name Mycolicibacterium obuense. RNAcentral describes it as "bacterial SSU rRNA". It matches the Rfam family "Bacterial small subunit ribosomal RNA", at positions 44 to 601 of the family's 1533-position model. Lineage: Bacteria; Bacillati; Actinomycetota; Actinomycetes; Mycobacteriales; Mycobacteriaceae. The record is from RNAcentral.
GUGCUUAACACAUGCAAGUCGAACGGAAAGGCCCUUCGGGGUACUCGAGUGGCGAACGGGUGAGUAACACGUGGGUGAUCUGCCCUGCACUUUGGGAUAAGCCUGGGAAACUGGGUCUAAUACCGGAUAGGACCACGGCAUUCAUGUGCUGUGGUGGAAAGCUUUUGCGGUGUGGGAUGGGCCCGCGGCCUAUCAGCUUGUUGGUGGGGUAAUGGCCUACCAAGGCGACGACGGGUAGCCGGCCUGAGAGGGUGACCGGCCACACUGGGACUGAGAUACGGCCCAGACUCCUACGGGAGGCAGCAGUGGGGAAUAUUGCACAAUGGGCGCAAGCCUGAUGCAGCGACGCCGCGUGAGGGAUGACGGCCUUCGGGUUGUAAACCUCUUUCGCCAGGGACGAAGCGCAAGUGACGGUACCUGGAGAAGAAGGACCGGCCAACUACGUGCCAGCAGCCGCGGUAAUACGUAGGGUCCGAGCGUUGUCCGGAAUUACUGGGCGUAAAGAGCUCGUAGGUGGUUUGUCGCGUUGUUCGUGAAAUC